Molecule: long non-coding RNA, 7696 nt
Filed under: Populus tremula
Lineage: Eukaryota; Viridiplantae; Streptophyta; Magnoliopsida; Malpighiales; Salicaceae
Description: long non-coding RNA (PTRE_LNC000168)
Source: RNAcentral
UGGAUUUGUGGCUGCAAUAUUUCCUAAUUAAUGACACCACCAUAAAUCUAAGCAGCUCCCUUACAGGCAAGAUCUUAGGGGUUAUUUCUCUAAGGUUGUCGACCAAAGCUCGUGUAGCGACCUCUGGGAGUGACUUGUCCAGGUGAAACCCUGAGCGCCCUUGGUCAUCUUCUCUUUGAUGGCAACAAUUAUACGACUCGUCUCUAGCUCCGUGGUGUGUCCUAACUAGGCACUUCAAUUUGAGCAUGGCACGGUGCUUCAAGGCCCUUUUGUUAGUCAAGAGCAUGGCACACCCACCAGAUCGGAACAAACAAUUUGCAAGAAUCAUCGAUCUAUCACUGCCUGUAUACCAGUGUGGACUUAAAGACUCCGAGGUGACAACAAGCGCAUAAGCAUUUUUGUAAAUCUUAAAGAUGUUUUGAACAAUGUUGACGGAUAUAAGGCUUGCACUACAACCCAUCCCAGUGAGGUUGAAAACCUUAACAUCCUCCCUUAGUUUAUAGUGAUUUAUGAUCAUAGCGGGUAAAGAAGGGACAACAGACUGCAUGGAGACAUUAACUACAAGAACAUCGAUUUCUUUAGGAGCUAUGCCUGACCUAGCCAAGAGCUUUCCGAUGCUGUCAUGAAAGAACUCCUCCAUCUCCGAAAUUAAAUCUUGUAAUGUAGGGUUCUCCUCUUGACCGUUGAAUAUGAUCCUGGGACCAUAGGUUUGCUCGCCAAUACCAGAGCUCACAAUAGCUCUCAACAGAAACUUGUACUCGUUCAGACCAAGAUUCUUGUUCCUCAUUAUCACUUGCCCAGAACACUCUGUGUCGAGUUUCCUGUCAUCGGUUGGUUUGUGGCACUCAUAGUCUAGUAUAUAACAUUCUCGGUCCCUUUUCCUAUCAAUCCGCCUCCAUAACAUGAGGAGGGGAUAGAAGAUGAGAAAAGCAUAUACUAACAUGGGAACAUCCAUUGUUUAAUUUUGAGAGAAACAGAGAGAGAGGCGGGGCUUGAGAGUUUGGUGUGCCAGUAUUAUUAUUUUAUAAGAUGUGAGGUCAUGAAAUGAAAGCAGGUGAUCUUAUAAGAGAAGGGGAUGUGCGAGCUGUACACAUGAAGAUGUUUAAGAUCCAUUUCCAUCUCUCCACUCCCACCAACUGAUUGCGUUCAACUUUGCUAUCAACUUAAUUUUUUUUUUUAAAAGCAUUAACUGGCCAAUUCAUUACGUGGAUUCUUUUUUUAAUUAAUGUAGGUGUUCGGGUUAGUUUACACGCACCUCGAUUAAUUUUACGGGUUCUAAAAUUAAUGACCAUAUAAUUCUCCAGUGGCCAUCAUAUUAUAAACUACAAAACUUGAACUUGAAACAAAAAAAAAAAAACAAAUCCAUUAAUUCUAAAUUCUUACCACUAAAUGUUUUUUCACUACAAAAAAAUGGAAUUAGCAACGAAUAAUUUCAGAUGCAAAUAAUAGAUGCUAAUUUUUUAGCAACGAAUUAUCCGUCGCUAAAAUUCGGUUACUGAUUGUCCAUUGUGUUCCUGCUGAGGUCUCUCAUCAUGAGCUUGAUUGCAUGUUAAUUACGAUAUCUACAUUAACAUAACCUAAAUUAACCUUAUGGUCGAGCUAGCUAGGAAGUUAUGAGGAACCUUAUGGUCCUUUUUACAUCUUUUUGCAUGCUCUGUUUUGCAACAUUUUUUCUAGUUACUGCAAAGAAAGCAAUAGUUUUACAACAGUAGUUAGGCUACUUUCCACAAUAUUUUUCAUGCUUUGUAUUGCAAUAAUCUCAACCCCCUCUCUUAGUAUAUUUUUUUUUUAUACCUCACCCAUUUAAUAAAUUUAAAAUAAAAUACAUUACAUUAAUAAUUAAAAAUAUUAGGAUGUGAUAAAAGCUAUAUUUAACAACUAAUUUGCAAAAAAUCAAACAAAAUUAUUAUUCUCAUCAAUAAAAUUAAUUAAUAAAAUAAAAUAUGUUAUCUCUAAAUUACAAAUAAAAUCUCUUAAAUUUAGGUUUCUAAUUAUACCUGUUUUAAUUUGUUAUAACGGUUGCAACUGGAAACGUGGAUUCUUGGGAGCAGCACGAUUCUUUGCAAAUUAAUGGAAGCACAACACCAAUCUUUGCCAAGUGGGUUCUUGAAAGCACACCACAGGAAAAGUUAAAGAUUGCAAAUGGGAGCACAGCACCGAUCUUUGCAAAUGGUUCUUGAGAGCACACUACAGGAGAAGUUAAAGAAAGCAAAAGUGGGGUAAUUGAAAAGGGUUGUUUUGGAGUUACAUGUUCUGGACAAUAAUUCAAGAGAAAGUGACAGAGGAGGGAUGGGUUUCGACAAAAGGAAGAAAGGGACAAAUUGAUUGGGUUAGGGUUUUUUAAGUGGAGAAUGAAAGUUUUUGAUUUUGAGCUGGAGUAAUAAAUUGUCUCCUACCGGGUGUUUUUGUUUAUAUAUAUAUAAAAGUCAAAUUUUUUUCUUCUCUUUAUUAGCAUAGCAAUCGUAAACUGUGCCAUUAUAUCAGCAACGGAUAAUCCGUUGCUGAUUUUUAAUAUAUUAAUUUAAUUUUUAGCAACCGAUUUUUUGUUGCUAAAUCCGUUACUAAUAUUAAAAAAUUAGUAUAUAUACAAUUCGUUGCUAAAUUUGCAACUGAAAUAUUUCGUUGCUGAUUGCCGAUGCUACCGACCCCUUUUUUUAGUAGUGUUUUAUAUGGUUUUAUUACGGAUUUUACCCAAUUCUUUUCUUUUCUAUUUUUAGUACAAGGAAUCCACAUUUCUUUUUUCUAAUUUAGGAUUUUAUUUCAUUACGAGGAGACUUCUCAAUGUCCAUUUUUAAUCCUGCCAAUAUACCUCAAUUAAUAUGGAUUUUCAAACAUAAUUAGCUAGUUACUAUCCGAUUGUCUUCCUGACAUCAUAAUAUCGUACAGUCUAAUGAACUAAAAUGACAUUACAUAGGAAGUUAUUGGUUUAUUUAUUUUCCUUUUUAGAGCCGGGAAAUCAUGUCUUGAAAAGGAUAAGUAAAAAGAUAGGACAAUUGAAGAAAAAAGAAGUACGUACGUGCACCGAUGCUGCUCGUGAUUAAAUGGAUCCUUAGACGCUAAUUCAUACCUAACGUACAUUUUUUUAUGCCAAGGAUAACGGGGCAGCAUUGGAGGUUUUUUUGAGAUAUAUGAUAAUGGUUAUUUUUUAAAGUAUUUUUUAUUUUAAAAUAUAUUAAAAUAAUAUUUUUAUUAUUUUUUUAAAAAUUAUUUUUAACAUUAUCACAUCAAAAUUAGCACAUCAAAAUGAUAUGAAAAAGAAAAAUUUUAAAAAAUUUGAAUUGUUUUCAAAAAUGCUUCUAAAAUUUAAUGUCAAACACACCCUUCAUCCACAACCUUUAAUGCAACAACUAGAUUAUUAUCGAGUGUUAUUAUGAUGAAGGUCGAAUUAAUUUUUUUAAUAUAAAAAAUAUUUAAAUAUUGCUAAUAUAUUUUUUAAUAAAAAAAUAUGUAUAAGUUGAUUUGAUAUAAUAUAGUUGACAUGAUGAGUCUAAAAACAACCUAAAUUACAAGUAAAAACAUAGUUUGACUAAAAUAAAUUAUUGACAUCAUCUUUUUUUAAAAUAUUGAUAUUGCAACCUAUUAAAUUGACCCGAAUAAUGAAACCGCAAUAUUCCAAUAGAAAAAAAAAUUAAAGUUUAAUUUUCGAUAAACUUAAUAUUAAAAGAUAAAAUUAAAAAUAAAAAUUAAAAAGAAAAAACAAUGUUAUGUUGAUCAAUUCUUUAUGAGGAGGUGAACAUUAAAUUCACCUCAUCUUUUAAUUUUUGUUGAUGAUUAUUAAACACAUAAAAAAUAAAUCAAAAUAAAUUAUAAAUCUUAAUUCCAAAUAAACUUAAAAAAUAUUGUUUCAAUGAAUAAUGUUAUAUGAGGAUUUUAAUAGUGAAUUCACUUUUUUUUCUUGUUAAUAAUUAUUAAACACCUUUGAUUUCCUAAACCCUGUAUAUAUAAAAAUAUAUCUACAAAACUUAAUAGUCACUAGCGGGCAUUGAUAACGUGUCUUCUAAAAAAAUUAAUUUUAACAAUGAAUUGAAUGAUAUUUUAAUCUAUUAUUGUGAUGGAAAAACAUUUGAUUUACCUGGUUAAACUAAUCCGACAAGAAAAACUUACGGGAAUAAUUUUUUAAAAAUAAAUUGGAAAGCUCAAUCCUAAAUUAAUUCAAUGUUGAAGGACGAAGUUAACCAAAAAAAACAUUUUUAAUUAAAAAAACAAGUGAACUCAAGUCAACCAAGCGAACUCAUAACGCAAGUCAUGGACAUUAUCAGAUUCAAUAAAUUUUUUUAUCCUAGAAAUUAUUUUUCCUUUAAUUAUUCAACAAUAAAACACAUGAUAAUUGUUUUUGUAUGAAAUGGUUUUUUUGAAAAGAAAAAAAUGGUGAUAGGUAUGUGGAGCCAAGAUAACAAAAGUAGAUAACUGAUAAUAAAAUGUGAAUUGCAUUUUUUUAUGUAUGAGUUGAAUAAAAAUAUAGAUCAUCAAUAAUAAGAGGUGAAAAUUGUAUUUUUUAAAAAAAUUAAAGAAUAAAAAAAGCAUUAAUAAAAAAAAAAAACAAAUAAUAGCUCAGAUGCUGCAGAUUAACCUAUUAAACAUGUGAUCUAACUCAUGGACUCAAUUGGGUUCGAUGAUUUUUUUUAUCAAGUUUUUUAACACAAAUAUAAAAUAAUAAUAAUAAAAAAAAAACUAAAAGGAACCUUGACAUGUGGGCCUGGUGGCCCAAGGUGCCCGGGUAUUAAAAGAAAUAGCCAAGCACAUGGGCUUUCCAGUGUGCCCGGACCUAUCUUUGCUUUUUUAUUUCUUGAAGAGGUGAUGAUCUAUCAUCCACCCUAAUUCCUUUUAAGAAAACAACAAUAGACGUUGUGUCGUCUAUGACAAUAGAAGAUGUGUCACCUACUUUCUAUAAAAUUCAAUGACUAGAGAUCUCUGCAAAAACAGGGCAUCGAGUUUUUUUUUGGUAAAAUACCUAAAAGAUAGUUUACACACCUUGAAAAAUAUAUCAAUGGUCUAACCCUCCCUUUAAAAAGUAGCUAAAAAAUCCAAAACCAACGAAAUAAAAAUAUUCUUGUGAUCAUAUAUCUAUCCCAUCAUGCAAAGAAAAAUAAAAAAAACACCUAAGUGAAACUCCAUUAAUGAAAUAGAACCCGUUAACAUUGAUAUUGACCUUUGUUAUGGCCGUAAUCAGAUUUUAUCUCUUUACACUGAAAUUCAACGAGCCUCAAACUCACCUCUCAUUAAAAAAGAACUAAAAAAUAAAAAAAAUAAAGUUUGAUACUGAAAUUGAAUUUAUGACAACUAAAAAGACCAAUCACUUAACAAUUAAAAAAGAUAAGUAACUAAAAUAAACUUUGUAAAUGAAAUUUGAAGUUGUUAUCUAUUUUAUCCAUCCUUUUAAUUUUGAUCUUCUUCUUUUAAUUUAACUUUUUUAAAAAAAAAAAGUAAUUUGGUGCUAAUUUGGGUUGAAAAAUGUUAAUUGUGCAAAAAAACGUUCGAUGAUAGAAUUAAAAUUUUAUAAAAAGUUGAUUAUUCUAAUCCAUAAAGAUUUGAGAUAUUAUUAUCCCAUGGAAUGAUUGAACCGUAGUCAAGAUCAAUGACAAUAGGUUAGAAGGAGAAGUAUGGGGAUUUAGUUCAGCACAUUCAGGCAGAUUGAUCAGAAGGAAAAGGAGAAGUAUAUGGUGGCUACGUUUUUUUUUUUUUUUGUUUUAAUUUGAAUAAAAAUACUUUAAUUAUUAAAUGAAAAAUAACAGUAAAUAUAUAAAUAAUCACAUUACUAUACUAAGUGUACUACCAAUAAUAACGCUUCCGGGCCUCCAGCAAUAAAGAAUACGUACAGCAGCAUGUGCAGGGGACGAGGGUUUGAAAGCAAUUCUUCUAUUCUGAAAGAGAGAGAUCACUACAAACACUUUCUGGGAAAAACAAAUAAAACAGUACCGUUAAACAUAUCAAUCUGUGAAAACAAAGCGAAGGAAACAAAAAAAAACUAAAAAAAGGAUUGCAGCCCUCUAACAGGAUGCAAAUUCUCAUCAUAAUGGAAGCGCGCAGCACACCUUAUUGGGUUAUGGAAUCCUCCGGAGGAUUCAACAAGAUAACAACUUAAUUUAGUGGUGUACGUAGCUUUUAGGAAAGAAAAUAAAUAUACAGAGUAACAAAGAUAUUGUUUUUUUUUUUUUUUUUUAUCAUAAGAGCAGUAAAAAAGAAAAAAAGAUUGAGGAAUGUGUAUGUGAAGCUCGAAGAAAUUAAAACCUUGACUAAUGUCUUAAGAAGGAGAAGGAGAAGAGAAUGCAAAUGUAAAAUACCAAUCAGUAAAGAAUAAUUGAAUAGCAACGGCUAAGUCCUCCUAGUAUUUUGUAUUGAUAAAAUUCUCGUGUUCUUAUUAAAUUUCACAACUUAAAUAGUAAAACCAUUACUAAAAUUAAAUAACAAUAAACAACCCAUAAUUAAUACUAUUUUGUAAUGGACUCCAACGUAACUCCUAAGUAAUUACUAAAUAAUAGUUCUAUUUUUUGAAGAUCCACGAUCAGGUCAUCUUAACAACCCAAAAUUAAAAAUGAGUGCGUAAAACAUUAUAACAUAACAACCAAAUAAUUAACUGCAUACAACCCCAUGUUUCCAAGACCCUUGUCCAGAUCACCUAAGACCACGUCCUAACAGACCCAUGACAGCAAAAGUGCUGGGAUCAUCUUCAUUGUUAAUCCAUCCAUACUUCUCCAAGAAUGGGUUAGUCAAUGAGUUUGGUGGGUAGCUAUGAAUGCAGUCCGUCCACGCAUUACCUGCAUCCCCCAAGUCUCUAAGCACCUCCCACAAACAGCUGUUGCAUUUAAAGCCCGCACCAAAGCUCAUCAUCAAAACCCUAUCUCCUUUCUUUAGCCUCCUUUUGGCCUCCAUGUAUCCCAAAACAUACCAAAGACUACUCGCAGAUGUGUUCCCGAACCUAUGGAGAGUCAUUCUUGCUGGCUCCAAGUCAUGCUCGGUGAGAUCAAGGCUUACGCCAAUCCCAUCGAUCACUGCCUUACCCCCAGUGUGAAUGCAGAAGUGAUCAACACCUGUCUUGAAGUUUAUCACAGGUUUAGGACUAGAACCAGCUGCUCCUUUUGUGGAUUUGUGGCUGCAGUAUUUCCUAAUUAAUGACACCACCAUAAAUCUAAGCAGCUCCCUUACAGGCAAGAUCUUAGGGGCUAUUUCUCUAAGGUUGUCGACCAAAGCUCGUGUAGCGACCUUUGGGAGUGACUUGUCCAGGUGAAACCCUGAGCGCCCUUGGUCAUCUUCUCUUUGAUGGCAACAUGCAUACGACUCGUCUCUAGCUCCGUGGUGUGUCCUAACUAGGCACUUCAAUUUGAGCAUGGCACGGUGCUUCAAGGCCCUUUUGUUAGUCAAGAGCAUGGCACACCCACCAGAUCGAACAAACAAUUUGCAAGAAUCAUCGAUCUAUCACUGCCUGUAUACCAGUGUGGACUUAAAGACUCCGAGGUGACAACAAGCGCACAAGCAUUUUUGUAAAUCUUAAAAAUGUUUUGAACAAUGUUGACGGAUAUAAGGCUUGCACUACAACCCAUCCCAGUGAGGUUGAAAACCUUAACAUCCUCCCUUAGUUUAUAGUGAUUUAUGAUCAUAGCGGGUAAAGAAGGGACAACAGACUGCAUGGAGACAUUAACUACAAGAACAUCGAUUUCUUUAGGAGCUAUGCCUGACCUAGCCAAGAGCUUUCCGAUGC